CAGUGGGUCUGGUUGAGUUUAUUUUGUCUUCUGAACAGCUCGAGCUUUAGAACAAUGAACCAUUUGUUUGGAUGGAGAAGGCUUGCCAGCCUGAUGUUCAUGCUGCUAUAUUUCAACAUUGAUGUACUCUAUGCUUCCCAACCAACAGUCCAGUCUGAGACUCGGCAGGUAAAAGGCGUCGUGGGACAGUCUCUCUCUUUUCCAGAGAGGGUGAACAAGUCUGGCAAUUUACUUUACGGAGACCUUGGCAGUAUUGCAAAUGUGUACCCUGGUAAAGAAGGCAAAAUCACCCUCGAGAAGAGAUUUGAAAAUCGUAUCCACUUGAACAGUGUUACAAGAUACUUCACUCUGUCAGACCUCAAGAUAGACGAUGCUGGGGUUUAUACUGUGGAGGAUACAGAUGGAGGGGGAAAAAACAAAUUUGAGCUCACUGUAUACAAUGUUGUUUCCAAACCUCAGGUGACAGAGUGUGACAGCAGCUCCUGUCGUGCGGUGUGUUCUGUGCACAACGAAAAAGAGGUGACCUUGACCUCGUACAGAGGAGAGGAAAUACUAAACCAGACCAGCAGUCCUGACCUCACCACCGAUCUCUCUCUCCGUUUGGAGGUAGAGGGAAAGAACUACAACUCCACCUACAGCUGUGUGGCUGCUAACCCUYUCAGCAWUGAGACAGUUCCUGUCCCAAAKUGUUGCAGCAAAGAUGGUCAUCCUAAUGARGCAGGUAAGAGCAAUUUUGAAUUAAAGCCAUCCAGAAAAGAGAAAUMACCAAGUGAAAGUGAAGUGUAGUUGAGCUCAUUCAAAACAUAUUUUACAAAAARGAUUUCCUUGUGUCAUUUAUUUCAGACAGUGGUGAGAGGGGUCGGGGUYUUCUUKUUAUUGCUGUAAUCUGCGUUUUGGUUGCCUUGGGGKUGGUUGGACUUGCAAURUAUCUAAAGAAGAGGAGAAAUGGACAACCAAAAGGCAGAUUCAUCUCAAAAAGUGCAAGUUGACAUUGUGUACGCAACGAUAACUCCUAAAAAACAAGCAGAUAAUCAGGAGGAGCGAACAGGUGUACCAGAACUGGAUUCACUUAGAGACAAACCAAAACUGARAUCAGUUUAUGAUACACUCCAAUCACAUCGCAUGGCUGCCAGCGGUGAUGUUGACACAGCAUGAAGAAGCAAAGUGGGAAGUUGCUGAGAAACCGACAUGAUAAUUCACAUCCCGGAGAGGACGGCAUAUCUUAAAGAGGAUGUUGAAACAAAAUGAAGGUU
Salvelinus sp. IW2-2015 is the source of this 1253-nucleotide non-coding RNA. NCBI's taxonomy places the organism in Eukaryota, Metazoa, Chordata, Actinopteri, Salmoniformes, Salmonidae. The record is from RefSeq and is a predicted model, not a curated record.